AAGGGGGGAGAAACCUAGAAGGUUCCUCCCAUUGCCAUUUUCGUGAAACCCUAGGGCGUCGCCCCAUUUUUCUCCUCCUCUUUCAUACCAAAUCGAUGCAAAUAUAGAGGGGCUGAACUGCAAUCAGCUUUUGCAUGUUUUAUUCCAUGAAAGUUCAACAUCUUUUUCAUUUUUUCACUCGAUUCACUCCUAUAUCUAGGUAAUCAUCUCUAUUUAUUUUUUUCUUUUGAAUUACCGAGUCAAUAUUGCUUUAGUUUUGUUGUACUACACUGUGUUCUCUCAAAUCCUAUUAGUUAAAAUUGGAAUGUUGGGAUUGAGCCAUCAAGGGCUUAGAUUUGGCCGUUCACGUUGUUUAAGGUAUCAUUUCACCGUCGAUUUUGUUGCACAGUGUAAUUUUUGGGAUUUUGUUUGCCCACAUCAAUGGUUUUGAGGUUGGUCUUGACUUGGAGGGUUCUAUAAAUAGAACCACCCCCAGACCAUCGAAAAGGGGGAGGAUUCAAUUAAAUUGAAAAUUCGAUAUUCGAAAUUGGAUAUUCAGUGAUUUUAAGGGUGAUUUUAGAGUCCAAAAUUUUGAGUUCAAAGCUUCUAAAAGUUUUAAAAAUUUAACUUUAACCCUAAACGGGUCAAAAUUUUAUAGUUCUAAAAUUUGAUUUUCUAUUUAUUCGUGCUCGUGUGGCUGAGAGUUGAGGUUUGGAAGCACCAUAGCUUCAAAAUCCAUUCUUGGGAUUCGGCUACACAAAAAAGAGGUCAAAGAAACAAGCACCCUAUUGGGCCUUCCAAAGGCCCAAUAUGAUAAUUCUUUUCAAACCUAUCGAGUCCAAGGAGAGGAAAUGGAAGAAAAUAAAUUGAAGGCCCAAUCAUGGGUGAAAAUGAUACGAAGUCCAACCAUAGGUGAAAAUGGUUAAGAGGCUUGGCACGCCCCAAGUCAUUUUAUUAUUAUUAUGACACGUUAUGUUUGUUUGUAUUAGUAUUUGUAAACUCACAUUACUAUUGAAAACUGAGUGGUUAGAAUUAGACAUUUUAGGCAAACAGUACUUAAGCCGUUCAGUUUGA
Long non-coding RNA from Lycium ferocissimum, 1053 nucleotides. RefSeq lists it as uncharacterized. Lineage: Eukaryota; Viridiplantae; Streptophyta; Magnoliopsida; Solanales; Solanaceae. The transcript has 2 exons. The record is from RefSeq and is a predicted model, not a curated record.